UUUCAGACUAAGAAUGGAACCAGUAAAAGUGUCCUGUGUCUUUAUAGAGAGCCGAUGGGUGGUGAAAAUCGGCAGGCGCACAUUUUGAACUCAUCCAUGAGUCACUCCCUGAAAAUUCAUCAGUAGGGGAUGUCGGUUUCCUCCGUUACCGGGAUAGACAGUGUCAGCUGUCGAUAAGGGGAUUUGCCGCAUGCGGCAAGUCAAUUAGAGUGGUACCGCGAGUAUAACCUCGUCUCUAUA
This 240-nucleotide non-coding RNA is filed under the name Sporosarcina sp. RNAcentral's name for it is "T-box sequence". It matches the Rfam family "T-box leader". From Rfam's summary of the family: Uncharged tRNA acts as the effector for transcription antitermination of genes in the T-box leader family. T-boxes are found upstream of many aminoacyl-tRNA synthetase genes and some amino acid biosynthetic genes usually in Gram-positive bacteria. Lineage: Bacteria; Bacillati; Bacillota; Bacilli; Caryophanales; Caryophanaceae. The record is from RNAcentral.